Molecule: transfer-messenger RNA, 363 nt
Filed under: Salmonella enterica subsp. enterica serovar Benue
Lineage: Bacteria; Pseudomonadati; Pseudomonadota; Gammaproteobacteria; Enterobacterales; Enterobacteriaceae
Also listed under: 1 other name
Rfam family: transfer-messenger RNA
About the family: Bacterial tmRNA, also known as 10Sa RNA or SsrA, is named for its dual tRNA and mRNA-like properties.
Source: RNAcentral
GGGGCUGAUUCUGGAUUCGACGGGAUUUGCGAAACCCAAGGUGCAUGCCGAGGGGCGGUUGGCCUCGUAAAAAGCCGCAAAAAAAUAGUCGCAAACGACGAAAACUACGCUUUAGCAGCUUAAUAACCUGCUUAGAGCCCUCUCUCCCUAGCCUCCGCUCUUAGGACGGGGAUCAAGAGAGGUCAAACCCAAAAGAGAUCGCGCGGAUGCCCUGCCUGGGGUUGAAGCGUUAAAACGAAUCAGGCUAGUCUGGUAGUGGCGUGUCCGUCCGCAGGUGCCAGGCGAAUGUAAAGACUGACUAAGCAUGUAGUACCAAGGAUGUAGGAAUUUCGGACGCGGGUUCAACUCCCGCCAGCUCCACCA